Long non-coding RNA from Oncorhynchus tshawytscha (Chinook salmon), 1784 nucleotides. RefSeq lists it as uncharacterized. Lineage: Eukaryota; Metazoa; Chordata; Actinopteri; Salmoniformes; Salmonidae. The transcript is spliced from 4 exons. The record is from RefSeq and is a predicted model, not a curated record.
CUAUAGAGGGAAUGGGCCCUAUAGCAGGUCACUAUAGAGGGAAUGGGCCCUAUAGCAGGUCACUAUAGAGGGAAUGGGCCCUAUAGCAGGUCACUAUAGAUGGGGGAAUGGGCCCUAUAGCAGGUCACUAUAGAGGGAAUGGGCCCUAUAGCAGGUCACUAUAGAUGGGGGAAUGGGCCCUAUAGCAGGUCACUAUAGAGGGAAUGGGCCCUAUAGCAGGUCACUAUAGAGGGAAUGGGCCCUAUAGCAGGUCACUAUAGAGGGAAUGGGCCCUGGUCAAUAGCAGGUCACUAUGGGGAACGGGCCCUGGUCUCAGAGCGAUAUCGAGAGAUGUGUGGUUGGACCGGGUUGACAAGACUAUUGGAGAUGAGCCCUGGUGUGUCCGUGCGUUUCCAGUUGCAGUGAAUGCUAUUCUGAGGUGUGGGGUUGUUUGGGGCUCUGUGGCACAAAAUGGCUGCCGUGUGUCUCCCCGUAACGGAGGACACUGGACCCUGAACUCUGACCCUGCUUUGGCACAGUUUUACAGUAAUGUAACAUGGUGUGUGAGGUGGUGGUGGUGACAGUAGCAAGGAGGCCUCGUUCGCUGUAAUAGCACGAUGCUAACAUUUCAUAACAGUUCUAAAUCCCUAACAGGGGAUCUCUAAAUCAAUACAAACAAAAACAACAAUACCCUGAUUGAUCAAUAAACAGUAAGAAAGUCGAUCAGUUCGAUCAGUCGAUCAAAUAUUGGUCCCAGUAACAGUUGGGAGGUCAUUUGAUUGGUUGAUGGUGGGAAUGUAACUCAUUGAUUUGAUUAUCGAUUAGUUGAUUCAGCAUUUCUUGUUGUUGUAGGAUUUCAUACACAUGGGUCCUUCUGUUCUGUUCUGAGUAGAAGUCGUCUUUAACCACUGAUCAGAGGUCAGAUCUGAUCAGAUCAGAUAGGGGCACAGGGAAUCUGAUCCUAGAUCUGUGUUUAGGUUUGAACAGUAGAUAUGGGUAGUUAAGACUAGGGGCAUGGGGAAUCUGAUCCUAGAUCUGUGUUUAGGUUUGAACAGUAGAUAUGGGUAGUAGACUAGGGGCAUGGGGAAUCUGAUCCUAGAUCUGUGUUUAGGUUAGAACAGUAGAUAUGGGUAGACUAGGGGCACGGGGAAUCUGAUCCUAGAUCUGUGUUUAGGUUAGAACAGUAGAUAUGGGUAGUUAAGACUAGGGGCAUGGGGAAUCUGAUCCUAGAUCUGUGUUUAGGUUAGAACAGUAGAUAUGGGUAGUUAAGACUAGGGGCAUGGGGAAUCUGAUCCUAGAUCUGUGUUUAGGUUUGAACAGUAGAUAUGGGUAGUUAAGACUAGGGGCAUGGGGAAUCUGAUCCUAGAUCUGUGUUUAGGUUAGAACAGUAGAUAUGGGUAGUUAAGACUAGGGGCAUGGGGAAUCUGAUCCUAGAUCUGUGUUUAGGUUAGAACAGUAGAUAUGGGUAGUUAAGACUAGGGGCACGGGGAAUCUGAUCCUAGAUCUGUGUUUAGGUUAGAACAGUAGAUAUGGGUAGUUAAGACUAGGGGCAUGGGGAAUCUGAUCCUAGAUCUGUGUUUAGGUUUGAACAGUAGAUAUGGGUAGACUAGGGGCACGGGGAAUCUGAUCCUAGAUCUGUGUUUAGGUUAGAACAGUAGAUAUGGGUAGUUAAGACUAGGGGCAUGGGGAAUCUGAUCCUAGAUCUGUGUUUAGGUUAGAACAGUAGAUAUGGGUAGUUAAGACUAGGGGCAUGGGGAAUCUGAUCCUAGAUCUGUGUUUAGGUUAGAACAGUAGAUAUGGGUAGG